Molecule: small RNA, 303 nt
Filed under: Gallibacterium salpingitidis
Lineage: Bacteria; Pseudomonadati; Pseudomonadota; Gammaproteobacteria; Pasteurellales; Pasteurellaceae
Description: 5' ureB small RNA
Rfam family: 5' ureB small RNA
Source: Rfam by way of RNAcentral
AUGUUGUGCUUGUUGUGGGCAGAUAAAAUGAAUGUGGGUGUCUAUACCACCGGCAGUUGCGAUAAGAUGCGCACCAUUAUGAACUUCAGUACUUGCGCCGAUAAUCAUAUUAGGAGUGACAUUAUCCAUUGUAUCUGGAUUACCAGCCUGACCAAUGCCAACGAUAUACCCAUCUCUAAUACCAAUAUCUGCUUUAAUAAUGCCUAAUUUUGCAUCAAUAAUAAUGACAUUGGUGAUUACUAAAUCUAAAACGUUCGGAUUCUCUCUCGUGAUGGUACUUGAUUGUGCCAUCCCAUCACGUAC